This 254-nucleotide ribosomal RNA is filed under the name uncultured bacterium. Its description in RNAcentral is "partial 16S ribosomal RNA". It matches the Rfam family "Bacterial small subunit ribosomal RNA", at positions 793 to 1055 of the family's 1533-position model. The record is from RNAcentral.
GUCCACGCUGUAAACGAUGAAUACUAAGUGUUGGGAUAAAACUCAGUGCUGCAGUUAACGCAAUAAGUAUUCCGCCUGGGGAGUACGCACGCAAGUGUGAAACUCAAAGGAAUUGACGGGACCCCGCACAAGCGGUGGAUUAUGUUGUUUAAUUCGACGCAACGCGAAGAACCUUACCAGGCCUUGACAUACCCAGCAAAGCACUAGAGAUAGUGUGGAGGUUAUCUGGGAUACAGGUGGUGCAUGGUUGUCGU